UACUUGUACAGUUUUAUACUAUUCAUAUCUAACAUUUGACCGUCCGUCUUAUUUGAAAAAAUUUUAUAAUUAUUAUUUUUAUUGCUAUUAGAUGAUAAAACAUGAAUAGCACUUUAUGUGUGAUUAAUUUUUUUUUACUUUUUAAUAACUUUUUAAAUAAGACAGACAGUCAAACGUUUGACACGAAAAGCUACGGCUAUAUUUUAU
Oryza punctata is the source of this 207-nucleotide non-coding RNA. The record is from Rfam. Lineage: Eukaryota; Viridiplantae; Streptophyta; Magnoliopsida; Poales; Poaceae.